UAAUACGUAGGGGGCCAGCGUUGCUCGGAAUUACUGGGCGUAAAGGGUCCGUAGGCGGUGUGGUAAGUCGAUAGUGAAAUCUCUGGGCUUAACCCAGAGGCUGCUAACGAAACUGCCAUGCUAGAGUGUGAGAGAGGCGAGUGGAAUUACGGGUGUAGCGGUGAAAUGCGUAGAUAUCCGUAGGAACAUCCGAGGCGAAAGCGGCUCGCUGGAUCACAACUGACGCUGAGGGACGAAAGCUAGGGGAGCAAACAGGAUUAGAUACCCUGGUAGUCCUAGCCCUAAACCAUCAGGACUUGGGGUUUGCCCUGUACGGGGCAAGUCCCGUAGCUAACGCGUUAAGUCCUGCGCCUGGGGAGUACGGUCGCAAGGCUG
Molecule: ribosomal RNA, 375 nt
Filed under: uncultured bacterium
Lineage: Bacteria
Description: bacterial SSU rRNA
Rfam family: Bacterial small subunit ribosomal RNA
Source: RNAcentral